Molecule: transfer RNA, 91 nt
Filed under: Patescibacteria group bacterium
Lineage: Bacteria
Description: tRNA-Ser
Rfam family: tRNA
About the family: Transfer RNA (tRNA) molecules are approximately 80 nucleotides in length. Their secondary structure includes four short double-helical elements and three loops (D, anti-codon, and T loops).
Source: RNAcentral
GGAGGAGUCGCCUAAUUGGCUGGGCAGAAGAUUGCUAAUCUUCCGCGGUUUAAAAAGCCGCUUGUGGGUUCGAGUCCCACCUCCUCCGCCA